This 468-nucleotide ribosomal RNA is filed under the name uncultured bacterium. Its description in RNAcentral is "partial 16S ribosomal RNA". It matches the Rfam family "Bacterial small subunit ribosomal RNA", at positions 28 to 507 of the family's 1533-position model. The record is from RNAcentral.
GACGAACGCUGGCGGCGUGCUUAACACAUGCAAGUCGAACGGAAAGGCCCUGCUUUUGUGGGGUGCUCGAGUGGCGAACGGGUGAGUAACACGUGAGUAACCUGCCCUUGACUUUGGGAUAACUUCAGGAAACUGGGGCUAAUACCGGAUAGGAGCUCCUGCUGCAUGGUGGGGGUUGGAAAGUUUCGGCGGUUGGGGAUGGACUCGCGGCUUAUCAGCUUGUUGGUGGGGUAGUGGCUUACCAAGGCUUUGACGGGUAGCCGGCCUGAGAGGGUGACCGGCCACAUUGGGACUGAGAUACGGCCCAGACGCCUACGGGAGGCAGCAGUGGGGAAUAUUGCACAAUGGGCGGAAGCCUGAUGCAGCAACUCCGCGUGCGGGAUGACGGCCUUCGGGUUGUAAACCGCUUUCGCCUGUGACGAAGCGUGAGUGACGGUAAUGGGUAAAGAAGCACCGGCUAACUACGUG